AAAUCGUUGGAAGAUUUUGUGGCUUUACGGUAAUUCAAAAUUUUCUAUUACUAGAUUUCUGGUGAUGUAGAUUACGAUGAUAAUACUUUUCAGAUUGUGUAGAUUACGAUUAUAUACGAAUUUACGAAUUAUUUGUGUAAAACUCGGAGACGGUGGGAUAUGGAAGAGUUUCGAAUAAUUCACGCCCCUGUCUUGUUUCCUUAUAAUUUACUGAGUGGGAGGGGGGGGCUCGGAAAAUUCCCAGGAUCAACCUGGAAACUAAAAUGUGUAACAGUUGUAAGGCAUCGUAUAUUGACGGAAUAAGACGGAAAAAAAGGGCGCUGACGAACGGGGGUGGGGGUGGGGGGCUCGGAAAAUUCCCAGGAUCAACCGUAGAGGAUCCACGCCCAGGUGGCAAAAAUGGAAAAAAAUAUGUGUAACAGGUGUAAGGCAUCGUAUAUUGAAGGAAUAUGACGAAAAAAAAGCGAGUUGACAAACGGGGGGGGGGAGGGGCUCGGAAAAUUGCCUACGAUUUAAAGAAAAAUUUACCAUCAAUUUUCACCAUUUUUAACGCAUUUUUGGCAUAAGGGAAGUAACUCUCUAAAAAUCUCUAUAUAUAAACGGCAGUUUUUCUGUGUGUCUGUCAGGUUGUACCCUCACCCUGACCACGGCUUUCAACCGAUUCUGAUGAAACUUGACACACACAUAGCCCAAUGUCAUAAUUCAAAACUAACGCAGCGAAAAUUUUGAAAAGUUCCCCCAGUUCUGAAAAAAUCGAUAAAUUCGACAUGGGGUCGAGAAUCAGAAACACAAACCACAGACUGUCUAGGGGACGCAACUCCACCCUUUUAACUCUCAAAAAUAAAUUUACCAUAAUUUUUUUUCAAUUUUUUUGCUAUUUUCAAUAUUUUUCAAUAUUUUUGCUAAAAAUGCUUUAUAGUUAUUUCCCUUACAAACCCGAGCAACGCCGGGCGAUACUGCUAGUCUAUAUAUAUAUUUUUUUUUAAUUUUACAAACAAAAAGUGAAAACUGAAGUAAUGGAAUUUGAAUUUUUGAAGUUGCGAUUGAUAAUUAUUCUGUGACAAUCAAUAAUAUUUGAAAACUGAAGUAAUGGAAUUUGAAUUUUUGAAGUUGCGAUUGAUAAUUAUUCUGUGACAAUCAAUAAUAUUUGAAAACUGAAGUAAUGGAAUUUGAAUUUUUGAAGUUGCGAUUGAUAAUUAUUCUGUGACAAUCAAUAAUAUUUGAAAACUGAAGUAAUGGAAUUUGAAUUUUUGAAGUUGAAAACGAAGUUGAUAAUUAUUCUGUGACAAUCAAUAAUAUUUGAAAACUGAAGUAAUGGAAUUUGAAUUUUUGAAGUUGCGAUUGAUAAUUAUUCUGUGACAAUCAAUAAUAUUUGAAAACUGAAGUAAUGGAAUUUGAAUUUUUGAAGUUGCGAUUGAUAAUUAUUCUGUGACAAUCAAUAAUAUUGGGAAAAUAUAAUCUGUACUUACCACAUGCGUGGUAGAUUUGCUGAUUAUUUUCAACAAAUCUACCACGCUUCUAUUUCAAAUUCUUUAACGUUGUCAGUUAUCGUAGGCAAUUUUCCGAGCCCUCCCCCCCCGUUUGUCAGCGCGCUUUUUUUUCGUCAUAUUCCUCUUACACGUAUUUUUUUUCAUUUUUGCCACCUGGGCGUGGAUCCUCUACGGUUGAUCCUGGGAAUUUUCCGUAAGACAAUCCUCAGAAACAGGAAUAUAGACUUGAGAAUCAAGACACAUCCCUGUGUAACGACACCCGAAAAAUUGGCAUCUUUUUGGUUUGAACGGCAGUUUUUUCUAGCGGUGUCAUAUGAAAUUGUCACCCAUAAUUAUGACCCUAGUAUCGAUCUAUUGCAUUUCAAUCUGUUUUAGGGGUGGGGGAAAGGGUAUCUUUUUUUCUUCACAAAUGUAAAUAAACCCAAUCUGUUUCUUAAACGAGGAACAUAUUCAUACGCCACAGAAUGUUUUCCCCUCAAUAGACGUCAGUGAUUGGUUGAAAUUGCAGAAAUUGAAGAAAACAACAACAAAUAUCUUAGAAACCAUAGAAUUUUCUCAAUAAAGGGACUAAAGCCAUCUGAAUAUGGCUAGGGACAGGGCAGGGUGGUGGGGGUGUUACUGUUGCAUUUAGCCCCAGGCGAACAUCGACGUCACCAGAAAGGCUCGACACCGUCACGGUGCCCUAAACCUCACCGUGACGGUGUCGAGCCUUUCUGGUGACGUCGAUGUUCGCCUGGGGCUAAAUGCAACAGUAACACCCCCACCACCCUGCCCUGUCCCUAGCCAUAUUCAGAUGGCUUUCGUCCCUUAUGUUAUCGAGCAGUUACUGUCUAUAUCCCUUUUAGAGAAUUAUUAUUGCUUUCUCAAUAAAGCCAAGACAAAAAGAUGUUUUAUAAACACAUUCUACCAGUAUACGAAGUUUAAAAGUGUUUAGUUACGUGGAAAUUAUUUUAAAAAACUGCCAUUCAAACCGAAAAGAUCCCAACUUUUGUAGAAUUCAAGUGCUUUUAGGAUACCAUAGAUAUGCAAGUACCAAAUCCAAUUUGUGACCAUCACUCCAUCUCAGCAGGGGUUCUUGUUAACUGUUUUGCAUAUAUCAUCAUCAUCAUUUAAUGUUAUCUUCCAUGCUAGCGUGUGUUUGAUCGGUUGAAAGAAGCUGGUAAGACAGAGGACUUUAUCAAGCAUGACUGUCUGCUUUGGCAGGGUUUCUACAGCUGGGAACCCUUCCUAAUGCCAACCGCUUUACAGAGUUGAGUGGGUGCUUUUUACAUGGCAUCAGCACAUAUAUACUUGGGCAAGUGUCUUCUACUAUAGCUUCGGGUCGACCAAAGCUUGUGAGUGGAUUUGGUAGAUGGAAACUGAAAGAAGCCCGUCGUAUAUAUACAUAGAUGUAUGUGUGUGUGUCUGUGUUUGUCUCCUUAGCAUUGCUUGACAACCGAUGCUGGUGUGUUUAUGUCCCAAUAUCUGCCUCAAUAUAUUCCAUCUAUUAUUCCAUUAAAGCAUGGAAAAGUAGAUGUUAAAACGAUGACAAUGAUGAUGGUCCUCUUCUGCUUUUGAAGCAAGUGGUCUUGUGUUCAUCCCUAUUAUGUGGUAUCUGGACCAAAUGUCUUCUAAUAUAACCCUGGGCCAACUAAAGCAUUGUGAGGGGAUUUGCUACAUGGAAAGUGUAUCAUUUACGGAAUUAUGUGUAUGUGUGUAUCUGUCUCUGUGUUUGACCCCCUUUGCAGCCAUAAAGCAUUUGACUAUGAGCGUUAGUUUGCUUAUAUCCUUGUGACUAAGUGAUUGGGCAAAUGUGACUGGUGGAAUAGGAGUAGCUGUGUGGUAAGUAGCUUGUUUACCAACCACAUGGUUCCGGGUUCAGUCCCACUGCGUGGCACUUUGGGCAAGUGUCUUCUGCUAUAGCCUCGGGCCGACCAAUGCCUUGUGAGUGGAUUUGGUAGAAGGAAACUGAAAGAAGCCUGUCGUAUAUAUAUAUAUAUAUGUAUGUGUGUUUGUGUUUGUCCCCCUAGCAUUGCUUGACAACCGAUGCUGGUGUGUUUAUGUCCCCGUUACUUAGCGGUUCAGCAAAAGAGGCCAAUAGAAUAAGUCCCGGGGUCGAGUUGCUCGAUUAAAGGCGGUGCUCCAGCAUGGCCGCAGUCAAAUGACUGAAACAAGUAAAAGAAAAAAAAUACUGGAGUUGAUACAUUUGACCGAUCCAUUCAAAGAAGUACUCCAGCAUGGCCACGGUCUACUUGGUGAAACAGUAACUGACACUUUGUUUUAGUUUUUUCGAUCAACUGAAAAGCCUGCUCAUGGAAUUAACAUGCAAAUGGCUGAGUAUUCCACAGACAUGGGGACCCUUGAUAUAGUCUUCAGGGAGGCACAGCAUGACACAGAUGGUGAGAAGACUGGCCCUUUGAAUUACAGGUGAAACUCAUUUUUGACACCUGAGUGAACUGAUGCAAAGUGAAAUAAAAUGGCUUGGAGACUCAUUGCACCACUGUGUAUCAAACUCACAACUUUAUAAUUGUGAGUGAAAUACCCUAACCACUAAGCCAUGCCACUUCACAGGUGAAACAAGUGAAAGGAGAGAAGAGAAAGAAAACAGAUAAAUAAUUAGAGAAAUGUGGAAGCGAUUCAUCUAUAUACAGAAUGUUGUAAAAGUUUCAAUGCCUCAAUGGAUUCUGACCCAUGCAAACGUAGAUAUUAAAUGGAUGACAGUGUUGAUGUUGUAAGAUUUGCAAUGUUGAAUUACUAUGUCGUUUAACGAUUCUCUUUAUCUCACUGCUUCUUUUUCUAUUUCAGAAUAUCACUUCAUGUUGACGUUUCUUCAUUCAGAUGUACCUUUGAUAUUUUGAUUGACUUUCAUCAAUUAAAGGAAGACCAUAUAUUCAUAAGGCACAUUCAUCAAUACAUCAAGUUCUUUGUAUAAAUGAAAUCUUCAACAAAUGAUGGGAAAAAAUUUCUUCUGGACAAUGUAAUUAACAGCAACAUUUACUGGUCUUCGUUAUCUGGAAUGUAGAGGAGAUGAUUCCUUUAAAGGUU
RNAcentral lists this long non-coding RNA (4514 nucleotides) under Octopus vulgaris (common octopus). The record is from RNAcentral. Lineage: Eukaryota; Metazoa; Mollusca; Cephalopoda; Octopoda; Octopodidae.